CCCAGGAAUUGCUGCCAAAGUCGGCCUUUGGUGCAGCUGUAAGUCGGAUGGAAUCCACCUUCCUGACGUCAGACCCACCCACUGGAACACUGCUCCUCUGACUGGGGCUUCCCUGAAUGGAAACUACAUGUCAUACUGCAAAAGACAGGGUCUCACUAUGUUGCCCAGGCUGGUCUCAAAUUCCUUCUCAAGUGAUCCUCCCACCUCAACCUCCCAAAGUGCUGGGAUUGCAGGCAUGAGCCACUGCACCCAGCAGAAAUUCUUAACGAGGCAAGGCCAACAGAGGCCAUUCAUUCAACAUCACGGCACCAUAGUGGCCUCUUUUUAAGACUCCUCAGGUUCCAGAUAGAUUUCAUCACUCAAGAUAAGCAAAUGAACCACAGAAUUUUGAAGUUAGAGGUAAUUACAGCAAUGAUCUUAGCCAGCCCCCAUACAUUUUGGGACACACAGGUUCAGGACUGCCUGCCCUGGAGCUGAUUCCAUAAGAUACCCAAACAACUUCUGAAAGAGAAAAAAGUCUUUGUCUCAGUUUCUGCUCUCCAGAGGUAACCCAAAGAGGUAAGGAACCCAGUGAGAAAGACAGAGAGAAGUAUGGACAAGAAACAGAUCCUAAACCUGUUUUGUUUUAUUUUUGGUAGUAGUUGUUUAUUUUUGAAAACAUUCAAACCACCUGUAUUGGUGGCUGUUAUUAUGAAAUAAAUAAACUGAGAAA
RNAcentral lists this long non-coding RNA (712 nucleotides) under Homo sapiens (human). RNAcentral's name for it is "non-protein coding LINC01828:32". The record is from RNAcentral. Lineage: Eukaryota; Metazoa; Chordata; Mammalia; Primates; Hominidae.